UUUUUUUUCUUUUUUUUUUAAUAGGAAAGAGAGCAUCAAAAAGAGAAAAUUACGGCAACUGGGAUGGAAAUAAACAAUCGAAAUUUUAAAUUUUGCUUUCCAUGUUUGGUGAUAAUUCCAGUUUCUUUGGAUUUGUAGUGAAUUUUUCUUUUUCUUAAUAAGAAGGAAAGCAAAAUUAUUGCAACUACAACGGAAAUGAACGGUCAAAUUUUAGAUUUUGCUCUCAUCUUUCGAAAUAUCGUCAGGUUUAUGUUAAGUAUUCAAGACUUCUACUCUCAUCUUUGAAAAUAUUGUCAGAUUUAUAUUAAGUAUUCAAGAUUUUUUUGGAAAGUAGGGUGACAAGUAAAGACGGAGUAGAGUACUAUAGUCAGAAAGAAGAAGAUACAUUCAGAACAGAGUAUUAUAGUCAUGGACUAUAUUAAUGGCUAAUGAAGAAUUUUACCCUUUUUCUCAUUUCCAUUUGAAUGUGAUCCGAUGGGUAACAGAUAAGGUUGCUAUGGGAAUAAUGUAUGAAAUUGAAUCAUUUUAGGAAUAUUUUUUGUGAAGGGAGUUAUUUAGGCAAAUAACUCUGAAUCUUGGGCAAACUGCAUCCAUCUUCCCAUUCUUAUUUUCACUAUUAGGAAAGUAGUAAUUCAUACAAAGCAGUAGUGAUAUCCCAGAAAUCACAAAGUUCAGAAACAGCUUUGUGAGCUGGGUCACAUUUGAAACAUAAAAAAUCCCAAAAUGACUACGAACAAUUGAUCUUCCAGGACACAGAGAGGAAGGCAGGACAAACUUCAUGUAUAUGCGCUACAACUAAUCACGACUAGUAUUUUUACGUUUACUAGCACGAAGGUCCAGGAAAUAUCCUUUGGGGUUGUCCUGAAAGGCAUCCCUACGGAUACGAGAGUCCCUUCCAGGGGCUUUCAUCAUCUUCCAGUUCGAUGGCUUAGUGCCGCCGCCGCCGCGAAAAUACACAAACAGCACAACUAACCCUGCUGCGACUAGAAACGGUGCAUUAACACGGAGCCAGUGUUGUGGUGGGAAGACCUCUUCCAACCUGCCUAACAAAACCAAACCAAAUUUUUCCGACAGCAAAAACAGUUGCUUCAGCUUCACUUGCAGAUUGUUCAUCAUCUCAUCUGCUCCCAUUGCUUUCAACUUUGCCAGUGUGCUGUUCACCAUAAUCAUGCUUUCUUCCUCAAAUCCCUUCAGUUUCUCCUCAAAUCCCUUCAGUUUCUCCAGCAGAUUGCUGAUCAUACUGAUCAUACUCUCAGCUCCCAUCUUUUAUUCUGUGUGCUACCCAGUGAAAGGACUCGGUAAAAAUCUGCUUCGACUUCUAAUUAAAAGCUUGAAGAACCUUUUGUGUUUGGCAAAAUCCAAUCAAGUGAGGGCGCUAGCCAUAAUAAGCUUGAUCAAGUUGUGAUUUUCUUUAUACCCACGUGAAGGUGAGAAUUUUCGGUGCACUAGUCGUAAAAGCGUUUCACUUCACUAGUAGCACUCACUCCUCAGUACUGCCACCAAAAAAGCUUCUUUAUUCGGCACAGCAGUGUAGCUAGCGAAGCAAGCAUUAUUUAUUGGAUCCGCACAUUAAUCCGGGACCCAGGUGUCUCCUAUCAUUCAUCGUCUUUGUUUAUUUUAGCCACUUCUUACUUUUCAACCAAAGAAAAAGAAAAGGAUUUAAAAACUAAGAAGACCAGAGAAGUCUUUCAAAAUUCAAAUACACGAGGUAGAUGAAGAAAAAAGGCCGGGGGUAGAGUUCAACAAUAUGAGGUCCCAUCUCAAGAAGAAGGAGAGCAGACUAAUUUGUCCCCCAAAAAUUCUUCUCAGAUUAUUAAUCAGCAACCACGAUUACCCAAACUACUAUUAAAG
Molecule: long non-coding RNA, 1851 nt
Filed under: Coffea arabica (coffee)
Lineage: Eukaryota; Viridiplantae; Streptophyta; Magnoliopsida; Gentianales; Rubiaceae
Description: long non-coding RNA (CARA_LNC007614)
Source: RNAcentral